GAUGAAGAACGUAGCGAAAUGCGAUAAGUAAUGUGAAUUGCAGAAUUCAGUGAAUCAUCGAAUCUUUGAACGCACAUUGCGCCCGCCAGUAUUCUGGCGGGCAUGCCUGUCUGAGCGUCAUUUCAACCCUCAUGCCCCUAGGGCGUGGUGUUGGGGAUCGGCCAAAGCCCGCGAGGGACGGCCGGCCCCUAAAUCUAGUGGCGGACCCGUCGUGGCCUCCUCUGCGAAGUAGUGAUAUUCCGCAUCGGAGAGCGAUGAGCCCCUGCCGUUAAACCCCCAACUUUCCAAGGUUGACCUCAGAUCAGGUAGGAAUACCCGCUGAACUCAAGCAUAUCAAUAAGCGGAGGA
This 348-nucleotide unclassified non-coding RNA is filed under the name soil metagenome. RNAcentral's name for it is "partial contains 5.8S ribosomal RNA, internal transcribed spacer 2, and large subunit ribosomal RNA". The stretch from base 1 to 120 matches the Rfam family "5.8S ribosomal RNA", at positions 35 to 154 of the family's 154-position model. The record is from RNAcentral.